UACGGAGGGUGCAAGCGUUAUCCGGAUUUACUGGGUUUAAAGCGCACGUAGGCGGAUUCCUAAGUCGGGGGUGAAAUCCUGGAGCUUAACUCCAGAACUGCCUUCGAUACUGGGAAUCUUGAGUCCGGAAGAGGUGAGUGGAACUGCGAGUGUAGAGGUGAAAUUCGUAGAUAUUCGCAAGAACACCAGUGGCGAAGGCGGCUCACUGGCCCGAUACUGACGCUGAGGCACGAAAGCGUGGGGAGCAAACAGG
Molecule: ribosomal RNA, 253 nt
Filed under: uncultured bacterium
Lineage: Bacteria
Description: partial 16S ribosomal RNA
Rfam family: Bacterial small subunit ribosomal RNA
Source: RNAcentral